RNAcentral lists this ribosomal RNA (305 nucleotides) under uncultured bacterium. Its description in RNAcentral is "bacterial SSU rRNA". It matches the Rfam family "Bacterial small subunit ribosomal RNA", at positions 333 to 630 of the family's 1533-position model. The record is from RNAcentral.
GAGAACCUACGGGAGGCAGCAGUAGGGAAUCUUCCACAAUGGGCGAAAGCCUGAUGGAGCAACGCCGCGUGGGUGAGGAAGGUCUUCGGAUCGUAAAACCCUGUUGUUAGAGAAGAAAGUGCGUGAGGGUAACUGUUCACGUUUCGACGGUAUCUAACCAGAAAGCCACGGCUAACUCCGUGCCAGCAGCCGCGGUAAUACGUAGGUGGCAAGCGUUAUCCGGAUUUAUUGGGCGUAAAGGGAACGCAGGCGGUCUUUUAAGUCUGAUGUGAAAGCCUUCGGCUUAACCGGAGUAGUGCAUUGGG